This 204-nucleotide ribosomal RNA is filed under the name uncultured bacterium. RNAcentral describes it as "partial 16S ribosomal RNA". It matches the Rfam family "Bacterial small subunit ribosomal RNA", at positions 154 to 353 of the family's 1533-position model. The record is from RNAcentral.
AAACGACUGCUAAUACCGCAUAAGCCCACGGUGCCGCAUGGCACAGAGGGAAAAGGAAGCAAUCCGCUUUGAGAUGGCCUCGCGUCCGAUUAGCUAGUUGGUGAGGUAACGGCCCACCAAGGCAACGAUGCAUAGCCGGCCUGAGAGGUUGAACGGCCACAUUGGGACUGAGACACGGCCCAGACUCCUACGGGAGGCAGCAUG